UCUCUAGAGCCUCACGUCCACCCACCCUAUCUCUGGCCACCGACGCCCAUCCUCUCCCCCGCCGGUGGAACACUCCCACUGCCGCAGCCGAAAACAGUCCCAAUCUCGACACCCAAAGGAGCACACCAAUGUGAGAGGCAGGAUAGAGCCCAUCCCCUCCGCCAUGGUCAACGGCCCGCCGCCCAUGAUGGCACUGACGCCCCCCAAUUCCCAUGCCAACGCGUAAGAGGCGGCGCCAUUGGAUGGAUGGCGCGCGUGCUAUAUGCGUGUGCGCGUGCGCCUGAAUGCUAGGGCGGCGUGCAGGAGCUCCCCCUUCUCCUCCCUUUUCCUCUCUCUCCCCCUGCGCGCGGUGGAGCUUGAGCUGGGCGGGACGCUAAGCGGGAGUUCUUGAGGGCAGAGGAAGAAGACGUUCAGGUAGAAGGCGUGGACAUUGGGGAGUAGCUACAUGGGAGGAGGGCGUGAACGGUGGGAUGGGUGUUGGCUGGCUGUUGAGUGCAUCAAGGCUGCUCUAAUGUUGUUAAUUUUCUUGCUCUGCCCUGAUAUACUACUAUUUGAGCAUAUAUAAAGAGAUCAUAGAGGAAAGCAACAGUAGGCUGCUGCGAUUUUGUUCAUGGUGCUACUGGUUUUGUUAAUGUUGGUAUUUGCUUACUGAUUACAACUGCUGCUACUAGGUACUCGCUUUAUGAUAUGAAUAUUAUUCAGUUAUUCUUUCUUUGUUGUUUCUAUCUGAAUAUUAUUCAGUUAUUCUUUCUUUGUUGUUUCUAUCUGAAUAUUAUUCAGUUAUUCUUUCUUGUUUCUAUCUCAAUAUUAUUCAGAUAUUCUUUCUUUGUCUAAAUCGAUUUAGGAGAAGAGAUAGAGAGAAGAGUUACUGGUGUGGUUCAUUUGGGAAAUUUAGUACUUUGUUUAUACUGCUUUGUUUUAGGGGAUGAAGUAAAUAGAAGAAGAAAUUCCUGGGAUGGAUCUCUAUGAAAGUUGUUACAUGAAGUAUUUUAUCUGGGAACGCCUAAUACCCCUGGUGUUGGGUUUGGUCUUCAUUCAAUCCCCAAAUUAUAUGGUCUGGUAAGAUUUUUCCUUUUGCAAAUUUGAUUGCUUAAUGGUGUGUACGCCAGCAUCCGUCUCCUGUUUUCCUUGCAUGCUCACUGACAACAGCGACAUCGGCGGGAGACGAGGAGUAUCCCGUGUUUGUUCUGACGAGCAUGCAAGCUCUGAAAUGUACAUAUUACCUUGACGAGGACACCCCAUCUCAGCUCUUGGCUUCCAGGGAUACGUGCUGCCAGCGGUAGCACAAUCACACUGGCACAGUGCCCCGCGUCGUCUGCACCGAUGCUGCUGUGUCCUACCUCCAUGCUUCACCGUUGUGAUUCCAUCCGCCAGGAGGUGCGCGCACAUAUAUUUCAUCCCCAAUACUGCCUAUGUGAUUUUCUUAUUUGAUCAACUUCGGGUCCGCAAAAGUUGAUAUUAUAUCAUCUCAAAUAUUUCUUAUUUGAUCAGCUCUUUUUAGAGAUAUAGACUAAUCAAUAGCUUAAUAAUUUAUAAUCACUUGGGCCAAUUACCUGAUAGCAGACAGGAAGAACGAUUGUUGAAGAGGCUUAGGAAGUCUGCUCACAGAAUUUUGCAUGGGCUAGAAUCAGGCAAACACGAUAAGUUGCAUGCAUGUAUGUAAAAUUCCGGAUAAUAGAAACAGGAAGGUGUAUGCUCGACAUGCUUGACCAUGUCAAAGCUCAUGCAUGAUCAAUUAUAUCCUGAGGUUAUUCGUAUUAUCUGGAAGGUGAGCUUCAAAAUUUUGUAAAGUAGUGUUUCCAACAGUUCAGAGCUUCUGCUUUACUAUAUUGUCAGUAUUUAGGUAGAUGGUCUCUCUUUUAAAUCCUGAUACAAGUAAUGCACUUCGGCAAGUUCUAUUUAUCUGUCUCUUUGCUGCCAAUAGCUGAUAUAAUUUCAUCGUGAGCACGCAAGACAAUAGCUCUAUUGUUGUUCAUGGUUGUUGGCCUAUGCCCUAUAGAGAGAAUAAUUAGUAUUUGCCUCUAUGUAUCAGACUGUAGCUGUGCCGUGUACCUAUUGUAUCAUUUUCAUCAUUGACAGAUACGGGUAGCAAAUUAUCAUUGCAAAAUGUUGUGGCUGCAGUGUUUGACUUGUUAAUUCUACAUUCCUUCCUUUCCGGUGAAGUGUUACUUUUGCGUUUGUUAUGUCUUAUUUUUCUCUAUGUUCAUUGCUUCUGUUGACUUCAGAUUCUGCAUAUGGGGAGAAACAUCCAAUUUUUCAAGACACAUCCCGAAUAUUUGUUUCCUGGUUGUCCGUUGUCAACGUUUUCUUUGCAUAGACCUGGUUGAUGUAAGAAAAUUUACAAGUAGUCCGAUACUAAUAUUUUUGUAUGUACAUACAUGUGCACUCACCCCUUCUAUAUAAAUAUGAUUGCUCAAAUAUGAUUCAAGAGCAUCUUUUACUUUACAUUUUGUUUCUUUGUUCCGUACAAAAUGUACUGAAAGUGUUGUCCAUUGGGUUUUUUGUUUGCCUAAAUAUACUAUAGACCCUAUAAAGGUUCCUUUUUUCCCUUUGUCUAAAUAUUCUACAGACCGUUAUAUAUACUACAUACCAUUUUUGGGUGAGAAGGUAGAUGAAGCGAGAUCUCGAGAGCUAAUAUUGUUGGCACAGAUGUUUUGAGCAAAUGACUAAAAGAAGGGUAUACUAUGCUUGGCGAAUGAUUCCAUGGCCUCAUAGAUGCCUAAAAUAUUGCUUUCGUUCAUGGUGGCAGUGUACGUAGAUUCUUGUAGCAGUUAAUGGGGUGCGGACUAGAGAUGGAUCUUGUGUUAACCAAAAGCUGGUUAUGGUGUGGUCACAAUUGCCAAAUGUGUGAACGGAUUUUCUAUUUGCCACAUGUUCUCUGUCCCCCUCAAUAUGGGACAAGAAGAAGAAAGCUGGGUAGGGAGAACCAAUAGUCUUCUGCAAGGUGAAAAUUGAGAAGAAAAUGUUUGCUCGGAAACCAUAUGUCUGAUUAUGCUCAAUGUGUACUUCACCAACAAUAUGGCAUCGCUUUGAAGGAUGUCUUGUACAUCUUUUAUUGUUCACUAGACUCUUGACACUUAAGUAAACAAUCCCACCCGAUUUUUUGUGAUUCCGUAGCGUAGCAUGGGCAUUUUACUAGUAUGGCAAAAUGUGGCACUCCUAGGCCUAGAACCAAACAGCCCCGUAGUAGUAAAGGCUGGCUUUUGCAUGAGAGCCCACUUCUCCACUUUUUCCUUGCCUCUCUUUCCUUCACAUAUGCAAAAAU
Molecule: long non-coding RNA, 3265 nt
Filed under: Triticum aestivum (bread wheat)
Lineage: Eukaryota; Viridiplantae; Streptophyta; Magnoliopsida; Poales; Poaceae
Description: long non-coding RNA (TAES_LNC006873)
Source: RNAcentral